AAGACAAGCCUUUGCACAAGACACCCUAGCCCAAUUUGUUCCCUCUACCCUACCUCAUCAAGCCCUUGCAAGUCCUUGCCUUUGUGUUAUUAAAAGAAAAAACCCAAAACAAAACCCAAAAAAGCAUUGCAACAGAGAGCAAGAGGAGAAUAAGAGUCGCUGCACCUCCUCUCUCCAACUUUGUCAUCUUUCAUCACCAGACAACCGUGAAGCUGUUGUAGAUCAACUGGUUGGCUCCGGGCAAUCCCAAAUUUCGAUUGCCUGAGGUGGUUCAGUUUCAAAGAUCCAUCCUAGUCAAACUUUGAUCCAAGUCGAGACCUUGCCAUAAUUCCAUUCUUUCUAGCAAUUGAACCUCUGUUGCACCUUGCCACACGCUAGAGACCGUUUUCAUAGUCGAAGAUCGGUUUCAGUGCCCAUACAGCUAGUAAAUAUUAGGUUGAGUUUUCUAAUCCAAUGUUUUGGGCAAACAAGCACAAACUGCUGCAAUGUGCUUGGUUUAACCUGAUUUUGGUCCCUGUACAAUGUACAUACUGACAUCACGACAACGCUAGGGACACAAUAAGAUCAUCUCGCCACGUCAGCACUAGGUUAGCUUGACAUGUCAACUCUUUUGUGUCAUAUUAAACAUCAGAUUGGCAUGAAAUUGCUACGUCGGCACACAAUGUCCUGUCAACAUUGCCACUGUGGUUUUAAAUUGCGGUUGUAGUCACAGUCGCAAGUGACAGAAACAAAAGGGUAAAAUUUGAGUUUUCUUCAUUGAGUAUGCUUCUUUAAUUUGAAUAU
RNAcentral lists this unclassified non-coding RNA (783 nucleotides) under Hevea brasiliensis (rubber tree). The record is from RNAcentral. Lineage: Eukaryota; Viridiplantae; Streptophyta; Magnoliopsida; Malpighiales; Euphorbiaceae.